ACCGAUAGCUAUCGGUAUGGUAGAGCAAUACACUUUUAAUGUAUGGGUCCUGGGUUCGAAUCCCAGCGGGAUCA
Molecule: transfer RNA, 74 nt
Filed under: Aquiflexum balticum DSM 16537
Lineage: Bacteria; Pseudomonadati; Bacteroidota; Cytophagia; Cytophagales; Cyclobacteriaceae
Description: tRNA_Lys_TTT
Rfam family: tRNA (bases 14-74)
About the family: Transfer RNA (tRNA) molecules are approximately 80 nucleotides in length. Their secondary structure includes four short double-helical elements and three loops (D, anti-codon, and T loops). Further hydrogen bonds mediate the characteristic L-shaped molecular structure. tRNAs have two regions of fundamental functional importance: the anti-codon, which is responsible for specific mRNA codon recognition, and the 3' end, to which the tRNAs corresponding amino acid is attached (by aminoacyl-tRNA synthetases). tRNAs cope with the degeneracy of the genetic code in two manners: having more than one tRNA (with a specific anti-codon) for a particular amino acid; and 'wobble' base-pairing, i.e. permitting non-standard base-pairing at the 3rd anti-codon position.
Source: RNAcentral